This 1348-nucleotide ribosomal RNA is filed under the name metagenome. RNAcentral describes it as "bacterial SSU rRNA". It matches the Rfam family "Bacterial small subunit ribosomal RNA", at positions 104 to 1447 of the family's 1533-position model. The record is from RNAcentral.
GGGUGAGUAAUGCAUCGGAACGUACCUUUCAGUGGGGGAUAACGUAGCGAAAGUUACGCUAAUACCGCAUAUUCUGUGAGCAGGAAAGCAGGGGAUCGCAAGACCUUGCGCUGAUUGAGCGGCCGAUAUCAGAUUAGCUAGUUGGUGAGGUAAAGGCUCACCAAGGCGACGAUCUGUAGCGGGUCUGAGAGGAUGAUCCGCCACACUGGAACUGAGACACGGUCCAGACUCCUACGGGAGGCAGCAGUGGGGAAUUUUGGACAAUGGGGGCAACCCUGAUCCAGCCAUGCCGCGUGAGUGAAGAAGGCCUUCGGGUUGUAAAGCUCUUUCGGCCGGGAAGAAAUCGUAUGGGUUAAUACCCUGUGCGGAUGACGGUACCGGCAUAAGAAGCACCGGCUAACUACGUGCCAGCAGCCGCGGUAAUACGUAGGGUGCGAGCGUUAAUCGGAAUUACUGGGCGUAAAGCGUGCGCAGGCGGUUUUGUAAGACAGGCGUGAAAUCCCCGGGCUCAACCUGGGAACUGCGCUUGUGACUGCAAGGCUAGAGUAUGGCAGAGGGGGGUGGAAUUCCACGUGUAGCAGUGAAAUGCGUAGAGAUGUGGAGGAACACCAAUGGCGAAGGCAGCCCCCUGGGCCAAUACUGACGCUCAUGCACGAAAGCGUGGGUAGCAAACAGGAUUAGAUACCCUGGUAGUCCACGCCCUAAACGAUGUCAACUAGGUGUUGGGUGGGUAAAACCAUUUAGUACCGGAGCUAACGCGUGAAGUUGACCGCCUGGGGAGUACGGCCGCAAGGUUAAAACUCAAAGGAAUUGACGGGGACCCGCACAAGCGGUGGAUGAUGUGGAUUAAUUCGAUGCAACGCGAAAAACCUUACCUACCCUUGACAUGUCCAGGAGCCUGAAGAGAUUUGGGUGUGCCCGAAAGGGAACUGGAACACAGGUGCUGCAUGGCUGUCGUCAGCUCGUGUCGUGAGAUGUUGGGUUAAGUCCCGCAACGAGCGCAACCCUUGUCGUUAAUUGCCAUCAUUUAGUUGGGCACUUUAACGAGACUGCCGGUGACAAACCGGAGGAAGGUGGGGAUGACGUCAAGUCCUCAUGGCCCUUAUGGGUAGGGCUUCACACGUCAUACAAUGGUCGGUACAAAGGGUUGCCAACCCGCGAGGGGGAGCCAAUCCCAGAAAGCCGAUCGUAGUCCGGAUUGCAGGCUGCAACUCGCCUGCAUGAAGUCGGAAUCGCUAGUAAUCGUGGAUCAGCAUGUCACGGUGAAUACGUUCCCGGGUCUUGUACACACCGCCCGUCACACCAUGGGAGCGGGUUCCGCCAGAAGUAGGUAGCCUAACCGCAAGGG